UACGGAGGGGGCGAGCGUUAUUCGGAAUUAUUGGGCGUAAAGGGCGCGUAGGCGGCCCGGUAAGUCAAAGGUGAAAUCCCUCGGCUCAACUGAGGAACUGCCUUUGAAACUGUCGGGCUUGAGGCCGGGAGGGGGUAGCGGAAUUCCCAGUGUAGCGGUGAAAUGCGUAGAGAUCGGGAGGAACACCAGUGGCGAAGGCGGCUACCUGGACCUCGGCUGACGCUGAGGCGCGAAAGCGUGGGGAGCGAUCCGG
Molecule: ribosomal RNA, 253 nt
Filed under: uncultured bacterium
Lineage: Bacteria
Description: partial 16S ribosomal RNA
Rfam family: Bacterial small subunit ribosomal RNA
Source: RNAcentral